RNAcentral lists this ribosomal RNA (292 nucleotides) under uncultured bacterium. RNAcentral's name for it is "partial 16S ribosomal RNA". It matches the Rfam family "Bacterial small subunit ribosomal RNA", at positions 505 to 796 of the family's 1533-position model. The record is from RNAcentral.
GUGCCAGCCGCCGCGGUAAGACAGAGGGUGCAAACGUUGUUCGGAAUUACUGGGCGUAAAGCGCGUGUAGGCGGCCCGAAAAGUUGGAUGUGAAAGCCCUGGGCUUAACCUAGGAAGUGCAUUCAAAACUGUCGGGCUUGAGUUCUGGAGAGGAAGGCGGAAUUCUCGGUGUAGAGGUGAAAUUCGUAGAUAUCGAGAGGAACACCGGUGGCGAAGGCGGCCUUCUGGACAGUGACUGACGCUGAGACGCGAAAGCGUGGGGAGCAAACAGGAUUAGAUACCCUCGUAGUCC